UGGGGAAUAUUGCACAAUGGGGGAAACCCUGAUGCAGCGACGCCGCGUGAGCGAUGAAGGCUUUCGAGUCGUAAAGCUCUGUCCUAUGGGAAGAUAAUGACGGUACCAUAGAAGAAAGCCCCGGCUAAAUACGUGCCAGCAGCCGCGGUAAUACGUAUGGGGCAAGCGUUAUCCGGAUUUACUGGGUGUAAAGGGAGCGUAGGCGGCAGUACAAGUCGGGAGUGAAAACUCGGGGCUCAACCCCGAGACUGCUCUCGAAACUGUACAGCUAGAGUGCAGGAAGGGCAGGCGGAAUUCCUGGUGUAGCGGUGAAAUGCGUAGAUAUCAGGAGGAACACCGGUGGCGAAGGCGGCCUGCUGGACUGUAACUGACGCUGAGGCUCGAAAGCGUGGGGAGCGAACAGG
Molecule: ribosomal RNA, 404 nt
Filed under: Verrucomicrobiota bacterium
Lineage: Bacteria; Pseudomonadati; Verrucomicrobiota
Description: Verrucomicrobia bacterium partial 16S ribosomal RNA
Rfam family: Bacterial small subunit ribosomal RNA
Source: RNAcentral